AGAAAAGAGUACCCGACCUUGAUAGC
RNAcentral lists this non-coding RNA (26 nucleotides) under Rattus norvegicus (Norway rat). The record is from RNAcentral. Lineage: Eukaryota; Metazoa; Chordata; Mammalia; Rodentia; Muridae.